AAUUUAAUAUGACAAUGUCUCAUUGCAAGUCACGUAAAUAAAAGUUUGUAAUUUCCGCGUAAAUUUCCUAGAUUUAAUCGCGAAAGAUGCGCUCGUGCAAUGAUGGAUUGUAUAAGUUUAUCUUUGCGCGCGAAUAAAGGAUUAAUUUUAUUGCUGCACAGCUCGUAAUUCUCGGUGUACCUGUGUACGUUCUUAUAGUCGAAUAAUAUCUGACUACGAGCGAAUGCCACGUAUACACUGGCGGAAACUUCCAGCUCUGUCCUUGUUUCCACGUUCGUCGACUAAAUUGCAAUUACUGCUAAUUAAUUGAGCAAAGAUUUGCCUAGCUGCCAGCGGACAAAGCAAGGCGCGACUACACCAACGAAGAAAUUCUAGAUCAGCACGUCGCAAUUGUAAUUCCAGUGAACUUGCGAAAGAAAAAGAAGGGGAGAAAAAAAAAUUCAGGUGAUAUCAAACAAAGCAGCCAUGAGACUGACGCUGUUAUAAUAGAGUUACAACUACAGCAUUGUAUCGCAUCGGUGAAUGCCAUAUUACCUUUUAUUUUAAUCCGAGAUAAUAGAUCUGCGAAUAUAUACAUUCACAGUUAAAUACAACAUGCAUAUGUCAUAUGUAUGUACAUACAUACAUACAUAUAUACUAAAAUAGAUAGGUUAGGACAGAUUAAUGCAAAUGUUUAAAUCAGCCUAGGAUAUAGCGUAACCGUCCGUUGAUCUAUUGUGCAUACAAGAAUACACAUAUUCAAAGCUGAUAGAAUAUAGGUAAUUGUUAUUAACGCAUUAUUGAUCGGUUAGCCAUUUACUAGCGCUUUUGGUGUCAUAAUAUACAACAAAACAGUAAUUUCAUGGCGUGCAAAUUGUUCGAAUUCGUUGUUUAUAGAAAAUUUAUACUAGUAUUGCGUAAAUAAAAAAGAAAUAAGAAAUAGGAAGUAA
Acromyrmex echinatior (Panamanian leafcutter ant) is the source of this 929-nucleotide long non-coding RNA. Lineage: Eukaryota; Metazoa; Arthropoda; Insecta; Hymenoptera; Formicidae. The record is from RefSeq and is a predicted model, not a curated record.